GAUGAACGCUGGCGGCGUGCCUAAUACAUGCAAGUCGAGCGAACAGACGAGGAGCUUGCUCCUCUGACGUUAGCGGCGGACGGGUGAGUAACACGUGGAUAACCUACCUAUAAGACUGGGAUAACUUAGGGAAACCGGAGCUAAUACCGGAUAAUAUAUUGAACCGCAUGGUUCAAUAGUGAAAGACGGUUUUGCUGUCACUUAUAGAUGGAUCCGCGCCGCAUUAGCUAGUUGGUAAGGUAACGGCUUACCAAGGCAACGAUGCGUAGCCGACCUGAGAGGUUGAUCGGCCACACUGGAACUGAGACACGGUCCAGACUCCUACGGGAGGCAGCAGUAGGGAAUCUUCCGCAAUGGGCGAAAGCCUGACGGAGCAACGCCGCGUGAGUGAUGAAGGUCUUCGGAUCGUAAAACUCUGUUAUUAGGGAAGAACAAAUGUGUAAGUAACUAUGCACGUCUUGACGGUACCUAAUCAGAAAGCCACGGCUAACUACGUG
This 497-nucleotide ribosomal RNA is filed under the name uncultured bacterium. Its description in RNAcentral is "partial 16S ribosomal RNA". It matches the Rfam family "Bacterial small subunit ribosomal RNA", at positions 28 to 507 of the family's 1533-position model. The record is from RNAcentral.